UACCCCGUAGUGUAACGGUAGCACAGCAGAUUUUGGUUCUGCUUGUCUUGGUUCGAAUCCAAGCGGGGUAG
This 71-nucleotide transfer RNA is filed under the name uncultured Phycisphaerae bacterium. RNAcentral's name for it is "tRNA-Gln-TTG". It matches the Rfam family "tRNA". Rfam says of the family: Transfer RNA (tRNA) molecules are approximately 80 nucleotides in length. Their secondary structure includes four short double-helical elements and three loops (D, anti-codon, and T loops). Lineage: Bacteria; Pseudomonadati; Planctomycetota; Phycisphaerae. The record is from RNAcentral.